CGCCUCUUGAGCAAAUAUAAGAGGUCCAGCCUGCCCAGUGACUCUGUUCAACGGCCGCGGUAUCCUAACCGUGCGAAGGUAGCGUAAUCACUUGUUCUUUAAAUGAGGACUAGUAUGAAUGGCACCACGAAGGUUACACUGUCUCCUCUUUCUAAUCAGUGAAACUAAUCUCCCCGUGAAGAAGCGGGGAUAAACAUAUAAGACGAGAAGACCCUAUGGAGCUUUAAACUAAGUAACACUUGCACUAACUUUGAGUAAAUUUCAGAAAAAUCUCCAUUACCCCUGCAAGAUGAUUAAUAGUUUUAGGUUGGGGUGACCGCGGAGCAAAACAUAACCUCCACAUUGAAAGGAACCCACUCCUUAGCCAAGAGCUACACCUCCACGCAUCAAUAUAGUGACAUUAAUUGACCCAAUAUUUUGAUCAACGAACCAAGUUACCCUAGGGAUAACAGCGCAAUCCACUUCAAGAGCCCCUAUCGACAAGUGGGUUUACGACCUCGAUGUUGGAUCAGGGUAUCCCGGUGGUGCAGCCGCUACCAAAGGUUCGUUUGUUCAACGAUUAAAACCCU
Molecule: ribosomal RNA, 569 nt
Filed under: Chimerella corleone
Lineage: Eukaryota; Metazoa; Chordata; Amphibia; Anura; Centrolenidae
Description: partial 16S ribosomal RNA
Rfam family: Bacterial large subunit ribosomal RNA
Source: RNAcentral